UUAUCCGUACUCUGUAGGGUCGAAGAGGAAACAAUGGACCAUUUAUUCAUGCAAUACGUAUUUAGUAGAUUUCUGAUUGUGAUGAAUUUGGAGGGGAUUCAGUUGAGGGAUUUAGAGGACGAUGUGAGAUUUGUCUGGGAGAGGUGGAUGGUAAGGAACAAUGUGAUACCGACUUGAAUUAGAUUGAUAGGUCUGCCUACUUACUGGUGGGUAAUUUGGAACGUAAGGAAAGUGUUAUUUUUAGAAUGGCUAAGCUG
This 257-nucleotide long non-coding RNA is filed under the name Ananas comosus (pineapple). RNAcentral's name for it is "long non-coding RNA (ACOM_LNC003148)". Lineage: Eukaryota; Viridiplantae; Streptophyta; Magnoliopsida; Poales; Bromeliaceae. The record is from RNAcentral.